This 72-nucleotide transfer RNA is filed under the name Ictidomys tridecemlineatus (thirteen-lined ground squirrel). Its description in RNAcentral is "Spermophilus tridecemlineatus (thirteen-lined ground squirrel) tRNA". It matches the Rfam family "tRNA". From Rfam's summary of the family: Transfer RNA (tRNA) molecules are approximately 80 nucleotides in length. Their secondary structure includes four short double-helical elements and three loops (D, anti-codon, and T loops). Lineage: Eukaryota; Metazoa; Chordata; Mammalia; Rodentia; Sciuridae. The record is from Rfam by way of RNAcentral.
GUGGUUGUAACUCAGUGGGUUGAGUGCUUGCCUCUAAUGUGUGAGGCAUUGGGUUCAAUUCUCAGCACCACA